GACGAACGCUGGCGGCGUGCUUAACACAUGCAAGUCGAACGUGAUUUUUGUGGAAAUUCUUUCGGGAAUGGAAAUGAAAUGAAAGUGGCGAACGGGUGAGUAACACGUGAGCAACCUACCUUACACAGGGGGAUAGCCGUUGGAAACGACGAUUAAUACCGCAUGAGACCACAGAAUCGCAUGAUAUAGGGGUCAAAGAUUUAUCGGUGUAAGAAGGGCUCGCGUCUGAUUAGCUAGUUGGAAGGGUAAAGGCCUACCACGGCGACGAUCAGUAGCCGGUCUGAGAGGAUGAACGGCCACAUUGGAACUGAGACACGGUCCAAACUCCUACGGGAGGCAGCAGAGGGGAAUAUUGCACAAUGGGGGGAACCCUGAUGCAGCGACGCCGCGUGAGCGAAGAAGGUUUUCGAAUCGUAAAGCUCUGUCCUAUGAGAAGAUAAUGACGGUAUCAUAGGAGGAAGCACCGGCUAAAUACGUG
This 478-nucleotide ribosomal RNA is filed under the name uncultured bacterium. RNAcentral's name for it is "partial 16S ribosomal RNA". It matches the Rfam family "Bacterial small subunit ribosomal RNA", at positions 28 to 507 of the family's 1533-position model. The record is from RNAcentral.